AUAUGUAACAAACAGAACGGCUACGUUUGAAGAAGUUUAUUAAAAAAUACCUUUUUUUAAUAAACUUCUUCAAACGUAGCCGUUCUGUUUGUUA
This is a non-coding RNA of Paramuricea clavata, 94 nucleotides long. The record is from the annotation of a GenBank genome assembly. NCBI's taxonomy places the organism in Eukaryota, Metazoa, Cnidaria, Anthozoa, Malacalcyonacea, Plexauridae.